UACGCCGGUGGCAAGCGUUGUCCGGAAUUACUGGGCGUAAAGGGCGUGUAGGCGGCGAUGUAAGUCAGACGUGAAAACUCCGGGCUUAACUUGGAGAUUGCGUUUGAAACUGGAUGGCUAGAGGAUCGGAGAGGGCAGUGGAAUUCCCAGUGUAGCGGUGAAAUGCGUAGAUAUUGGGAGGAACACCAGUGGCGAAGGCGGCUGCCUGGACGACACCUGACGCUGAGGCGCGAAAGCUAGGGGAGCAAACGGG
This 253-nucleotide ribosomal RNA is filed under the name uncultured bacterium. RNAcentral's name for it is "partial 16S ribosomal RNA". It matches the Rfam family "Bacterial small subunit ribosomal RNA", at positions 524 to 776 of the family's 1533-position model. The record is from RNAcentral.